AUUGAACGCUGGCGGCAGGCCUAACACAUGCAAGUCGAACGGUAACAGGAAACAGCUUGCUGUUUCGCUGACGAGUGGCGGACGGGUGAGUAAUGUCUGGGAAACUGCCUGAUGGAGGGGGAUAACUACUGGAAACGGUAGCUAAUACCGCAUAACGUCGCAAGACCAAAGAGGGGGACCUUCGGGCCUCUUGCCAUCGGAUGUGCCCAGAUGGGAUUAGCUAGUAGGUGGGGUAACGGCUCACCUAGGCGACGAUCCCUAGCUGGUCUGAGAGGAUGACCAGCCACACUGGAACUGAGACACGGUCCAGACUCCUACGGGAGGCAGCAGUGGGGAAUAUUGCACAAUGGGCGCAAGCCUGAUGCAGCCAUGCCGCGUGUAUGAAGAAGGCCUUCGGGUUGUAAAGUACUUUCAGCGGGGAGGAAGGGAGUAAAGUUAAUACCUUUGCUCAUUGACGUUACCCGCAGAAGAAGCACCGGCUAACUCCGUGCCAGCAGCCGCGGUAAUACGGAGGGUGCAAGCGUUAAUCGGAAUUACUGGGCGUAAAGCGCACGCAGGCGGUUUGUUAAGUCAGAUGUGAAAUCCCCGGGCUCAACCUGGGAACUGCAUCUGAUACUGGCAAGCUUGAGUCUCGUAGAGGGGGGUAGAAUUCCAGGUGUAGCGGUGAAAUGCGUAGAGAUCUGGAGGAAUACCGGUGGCGAAGGCGGCCCCCUGGACGAAGACUGACGCUCAGGUGCGAAAGCGUGGGGGAGCAAACAGGAUUAGAUACCCUGGUAGUCCACGCCGUAAACGAUGUCGACUUGGAGGUUGUGCCCUUGAGGCGUGGCUUCCGGAGCUAACGCGUUAAGUCGACCGCCUGGGGAGUACGGCCGCAAGGUUAAAACUCAAAUGAAUUGACGGGGGCCCGCACAAGCGGUGGAGCAUGUGGUUUAAUUCGAUGCAACGCGAAGAACCUUACCUGGUCUUGACAUCCACGGAAGUUUUCAGAGAUGAGAAUGUGCCUUCGGGAACCGUGAGACAGGUGCUGCAUGGCUGUCGUCAGCUCGUGUUGUGAAAUGUUGGGUUAAGUCCCGCAACGAGCGCAACCCUUAUCCUUUGUUGCCAGCGGUCCGGCCGGGAACUCAAAGGAGACUGCCAGUGAUAAACUGGAGGAAGGUGGGGAUGACGUCAAGUCAUCAUGGCCCUUACGACCAGGGCUACACACGUGCUACAAUGGCGCAUACAAAGAGAAGCGACCUCGCGAGAGCAAGCGGACCUCAUAAAGUGCGUCGUAGUCCGGAUUGGAGUCUGCAACUCGACUCCAUGAAGUCGGAAUCGCUAGUAAUCGUGGAUCAGAAUGCCACGGUGAAUACGUUCCCGGGCCU
RNAcentral lists this ribosomal RNA (1364 nucleotides) under uncultured bacterium. RNAcentral's name for it is "bacterial SSU rRNA". It matches the Rfam family "Bacterial small subunit ribosomal RNA", at positions 28 to 1381 of the family's 1533-position model. The record is from RNAcentral.